AUCCAGCUGAUGAGUCUCAAAUGGGACGAAACGCGCAUCCUGGAU
Molecule: non-coding RNA, 45 nt
Organism: Schistosoma mansoni
Lineage: Eukaryota; Metazoa; Platyhelminthes; Trematoda; Strigeidida; Schistosomatidae
Source: Rfam